UAAUACGGGGGGUGCGAGCGUUAUUCGGAAUCAUUGGGCGUAAAGGGCGCGCAGCCGGUUUUGUAAGUCAGAUGUGAAAUCCCGGGGCUUAACCCCGGAAGUGCAUAUGAAACUAUGAGACUUGAGUAUGGGAGAGGGAAGCGGAAUUCCUGGUGUAACGGUGAAAUGCGUAGAUAUCAGGAGGAACACCGGUGGCGAAGGCGGCUUCCUGGACCAAUACUGACGCUGAGGCGCGAAGGCGUGGGGAGCGAACAGGAUUAGAUACCCUGGUAGUCCACGCAGUAAACGUUGAUCACUAGGUGUAGCGGGUAUUGACCCCUGCUGUGCCGGAGUUAACGCAUUAAGUGAUCCGCCUGGGGAGUACGAUCGCAAGGAUUAAAACUCAAAGGAAUUGACGGNGGGCCCGCACANNAGCGGUGGNNAGCAUGUGGGUUUAAUUCGAACGCAAACGCGAAGGAACCGUUACCNUGGACUUGACAUCUCGGGAAUUCCGUUGAAAGACGGGAGUGCCUUUAACGAGGAAUCCGAUGACAGGUGCUGCGUGGCUGUCGUCAGCUCGUGUCGUGAGAUGUUGGGUUAAGUCCCGCAACGAGCGCAACCCCUAUCUUCAGUUACCAUCAGGUGAUGCUGGGGACUUUGGAGAUACUGCCCCGGUUAACGGGGAGGAAGGUGGGGAUGACGUCAAGUCCUCAUGGCCUUUAUGUCCAGGGCUACACACGUGCUACAAUGGUAUGUACAAAGGGAAGCGAUCCCGCGAGGAGGAGCUAAUCCCAAAAAGCAUAUCAAAGUUCGGAUCGGAGUCUGCAACUCGACUCCGUGAAGUUGGAAUCGCUAGUAAUCGCGGAUCAGCAUGCCGCGGUGAUACGUUCCCGGGCCUUGUACACACCGCCCGUCACACCAUGAGAGUUGGCUGUACCAGAAGUCGUUGGGCUAACCCGCAAGGGGGGUAGGCGCCUAAGGUAUGGUUGAUGAUUGGGGUGAA
RNAcentral lists this ribosomal RNA (982 nucleotides) under uncultured organism. RNAcentral describes it as "bacterial SSU rRNA". It matches the Rfam family "Bacterial small subunit ribosomal RNA", at positions 521 to 1484 of the family's 1533-position model. The record is from RNAcentral.